This 109-nucleotide ribosomal RNA is filed under the name uncultured eukaryote. RNAcentral describes it as "partial small subunit ribosomal RNA". The record is from RNAcentral.
UCGCUCCUACCGAUUGAAUGGCCCGGUGAAUAAUUCAGACCACGGCUGUGUUCAACCCCUGGACACAGCAGCGGAAAGUCUAGUGAACCUUACCACUUAGAGGAAGGAG